UUAUUUUUCUUCUCUGGCUUUCCUAUUAAUAGAAAAGCCCCAGGGAUUUGUUUUUCUCUUAUGUGGCACCUCAGAUGGGCAUCCUCCCCCCUCGCGACCCAGUACACCUCUCCCCGCACUAAGCCCAGCUUCCACGUCCCUCCUUCUCCUUCAGAUGCCGUUUCCCCCCUCUGCCUCCUUUCCGUCAGCUUAUAGAGAGAGCGCGCGAGCCGCCGUAAGGCACAAACGUCAAGGUCCCCUCAUAUAAUGUGGACGUCCGUGCCUCCCCUCUUCUAGAGUUCCUCCUCUUCCCCAUCUGCGCCGCCACCUCUCUCCUUCCCCCUCCUUCC
RNAcentral lists this long non-coding RNA (329 nucleotides) under Hordeum vulgare. RNAcentral describes it as "long non-coding RNA (HVUL_LNC010740)". The record is from RNAcentral. Lineage: Eukaryota; Viridiplantae; Streptophyta; Magnoliopsida; Poales; Poaceae.